CUGGGGAUAUGACAGUUACUACUUGACUGUCCAAUAUUUACUGACAAAGCUAUCCACAAGGACGAUCACAUUAUACGGUGUUCCCUGGGCUUUCAUGGUAAAAUUAAUCACUAUUUUUACUCAUCCAUUAAUUUAUUAUGCAUAUACUUAUUAUGACUUCUUUUUGCUUGCUUUCUGUUUACAUUUUUUUAGGCUUGGGCAUGUGAAGUCAUUCC
RNAcentral lists this long non-coding RNA (215 nucleotides) under Capsicum annuum. RNAcentral's name for it is "long non-coding RNA (CANN_LNC010535)". The record is from RNAcentral. Lineage: Eukaryota; Viridiplantae; Streptophyta; Magnoliopsida; Solanales; Solanaceae.